CAUGUAGUCACACUUUCCCCUCCCUUUGCAGGAAACCCCACUGCCGCCACCACCUCUGCUCCCCCACCCACCGUGCGGACAUUUCAUCAGCCCACAUGUGGAUAAAGAACCUGCUGGAUUUCCUCUUGACCUACCCUGAUGCACUUUACUCAUUCUACUGCAAGGGCCACGAGGGAAGGGGACCAUGUUUAUUCAACGGUCUUCAUACCCAGCGCCUAGCACAGUGCCUGGCUCACAGAAGAUCAUCUCUGGGGGAUAAGAGAAGAGAGAAUCAAUUAUUUCCAAAGACUGAUUUCUCCAAAUAAAGGCAUCUAUUCCAUGCUGGCAACUUUCACGUGAAAGAAAAAUGGAACUUAGAAAAGUGUCUGCGUUCAUGGUAGAUGGUCACACAUCGCAGAAAGGAGGUCUACAAUUGUCCUGCGGCAGACAUGGUCUGGUUGCUGCCACUCCUUAUCAGCUAACAUCUCUCUCUCUCUCUCCUUCUUCCCCCUCUUUUCUGCCUACCACGCCCCCCCACCCUGCCUCAGAAACUUAAAAUAACUGUGGUAUUUUUGGGGGCUCCUGGGUGGCUCAGUUGGUUAAGCGACUGCCUUCGGCUCAGGUCAUGAUCCUGGAGUCCCGGGAUCGAGUCCCGCAUCGGGCUCCCUGCUCAGCAGGGAGUCUGCUUCUCCCUCUGGCCCUCCCCCCUCUCAUGCGCUCACUCUCUCUCUCUCUCUCAUUCUC
Long non-coding RNA from Mirounga angustirostris (Northern elephant seal), 723 nucleotides. RefSeq lists it as uncharacterized. The record is from RefSeq and is a predicted model, not a curated record. The transcript has 3 exons. Lineage: Eukaryota; Metazoa; Chordata; Mammalia; Carnivora; Phocidae.